RNAcentral lists this ribosomal RNA (1188 nucleotides) under Triticum aestivum (bread wheat). Its description in RNAcentral is "partial small subunit ribosomal RNA". Lineage: Eukaryota; Viridiplantae; Streptophyta; Magnoliopsida; Poales; Poaceae. The record is from RNAcentral.
AUGAUCAUCACCACCGCCGCCUUCCCGUCCGUCUCCUCCUUCCACCGCCCGCGCCUCAGGCCCUGCCCGCGCCGCGCCGUCCUCCACCUCGUCCGGUCGGCCGCCUCCUCCUCCCCCUCGUCGUCGUCCUCGUGGGAGGAGCGCGAGGAAGCGCGGUGGCUCCGCGAGGAGCAGCGCUGGCUGCGGGAGGAGCAGCGGUGGCUCCGCGAGGAGUCGCGCUGGCGCACCGAGCGCGAGGCCCUCCUCUCCGAGAUCACGGCGCUCCGCCUGCGCCUCCGCGCGCUCGAGCCUGCCGCCGCGCCCGUGCCUCCUCCCGCACCGGCGGCUGCGCGCGUCGCUCCGCCUCCGCCUCCGCCUCCCCCCGCACCGGCUGCGCGCGUCUCUCCGCCUCCGCCUCCCCCCGCACCGGCUGCGCGCGUUGCUCCACCUCCGCCUCCUCCCGCGCCUGCGGCACGCGUGGCGCCACCUCCGCCGCCCGUGCCGGCGCCGGUGAAGGAGGUCGAGGUGAGGAAGGAGGUGGUGGUGGUCGAGGAGAAGGCCAAGGCGAAGCCGAAGCCGAAGGCGGGGGCCAGCAGCGGCAAGAAGCGGGCGCUGAGGGUCGGGAGCGAAGGGGAGGAAGUGCGGGCGAUGCAGGAAGCCUUGGAAAAGCUUGGAUUUUACUCCGGCGAAGAGGACACGGAGUUCUCCAGCUUCUCGACCGGCACCGAACGAGCCAUCAAGACAUGGCAGGCAUCGAUAGGGGCUACAGAGGAUGGGCUGAUGACGUCGGAGCUACUCGAGAUGCUAUUCACAGGACGGACCCAGGACGAUCUCAAAAAGGAAGGCGUAAACGGAGCGCUUGUUCCACCUGUAACAGAAACCGCAGAGCUUCAGCAACCUGUGGAGGAAAAAAUUGACUACAACAAGCACAGAGUGUACCUUCUCGGCGAAAACAGGUGGGAAGAUCCGUCCAGGCUGACCAAGAAGGAUAAGCCGAUCAGCGGUUCUACUGCCGCGUCGACAAAGCAGUGCAUCACCUGCCGGGGCGAAGGCCGCCUCCUGUGCCUAGAAUGCGAUGGAACAGGUGAGCCCAACAUUGAACCACAGUUCUUGGAGUGGGUUGGCGAAGACACAAAGUGCCCAUACUGUGAAGGCCUUGGCUACACAAUAUGUGAUGUUUGUCAAGGGAUUAAAACAGCACACAGUUGA